Molecule: transfer RNA, 92 nt
Filed under: Subdoligranulum sp. CAG:314
Lineage: Bacteria; Bacillati; Bacillota; Clostridia; Eubacteriales; Oscillospiraceae
Rfam family: tRNA
About the family: Transfer RNA (tRNA) molecules are approximately 80 nucleotides in length. Their secondary structure includes four short double-helical elements and three loops (D, anti-codon, and T loops). Further hydrogen bonds mediate the characteristic L-shaped molecular structure. tRNAs have two regions of fundamental functional importance: the anti-codon, which is responsible for specific mRNA codon recognition, and the 3' end, to which the tRNAs corresponding amino acid is attached (by aminoacyl-tRNA synthetases). tRNAs cope with the degeneracy of the genetic code in two manners: having more than one tRNA (with a specific anti-codon) for a particular amino acid; and 'wobble' base-pairing, i.e. permitting non-standard base-pairing at the 3rd anti-codon position.
Source: Rfam by way of RNAcentral
GGAGAAGUACCCAAGUGGCUCAAGGGGCUCCCCUGCUAAGGGAGUAGAUCGCAAAUAAACGUGAUGCAUGGGUUCAAAUCCCAUCUUCUCCG